Molecule: long non-coding RNA, 3430 nt
Filed under: Nicotiana tabacum (common tobacco)
Lineage: Eukaryota; Viridiplantae; Streptophyta; Magnoliopsida; Solanales; Solanaceae
Description: long non-coding RNA (NTAB_LNC005620)
Source: RNAcentral
UUUUUUCUCUUAAAUGGUUCUUUUACUUCUCACUAUCAUGUAGAGGGAGUUUUGAGAGUACUCGCCAACUGGGUUCUUCGAUAAAUCUUCCCAGUGGGUUUGUUCAUUUGUAAAGCAUCCCUAAUUAAUCAUUGCUUAUUCACAUUUUCAUUCUGAUCGGUGUCUAUUGGGGUCUGUUUUCGCCAUCAAACAUCUAAAGCUUUCAUAUCACAAGGAACAUUCUUCAUUGAAAUUCUAAUUAGGGUAAGUAAUUUCUUUACCGAAAAAGUAGUAACUCUUUGGUGUAUUUUUACUGAUUUUGAUUUUAUUUUACCGACUAAUAUUUUGAUUAGAGUUUCGAUUGUAGUAACAAUGACUUAGGGAUUUUAAAAUUGAAAGUACUUAGAAUAAAAUUCAUGACUACUAUGGUAUUUGCGUAACAACUUAAAAAAAAUAGGACUUGUCUGUUAAAUACUUUAUCUUUGUUUGAAUUUGUCGGCUUGUAAUCUAUAUAUUGAUAUAAAGGAGGGACUAGAAGAGGUGAUGUGUCAUAUCUCUUUGACUACGAAUCAUCAUUUAUCUAUUUCCUCAUUUUUAGGCUUUUCAGAAAAUUAAAUUUAUCUAUUACUUAAAAAAAGGUCUCUUCAAAAGUCGCUUCCCCUCGCUGAAAAGUCACUCUCUACUACCUUGUCCGAUAAUUAUAUGUUCCACUGUAUCUCUCCCUCUCAUACCGGGCAAUGUGAUUAUUAAGUAAUGUGAUAAAGAAAAAGAAAAGGAUGCAAAGCGGAGGAGAUGAAGUUACCAUUAAAGAAUUGGUUUCAAAUCUCUACUUACAGAAAAUAACUUAUGGUAAAACCCUAAUUUAUUUUCUCUGUGCUUUCUGAAUUGUACAUGGUACUUUUCUGAAGGAUUUUCGUCAUCAAGUUCAUUUUAAAUUUUCUCUCUUUUGUUCUUAUUUUCGACUGGGGGGUCUCUUUUUCCUUCUUUGUAUUUUCCUUCAUUUUUUCUACUUACUUUUCACUUUGUCUUAUUUAACAAAAAAAAAAAUUAAAACUGUUUAAUAACAUUACUCAAAUAAAGUCGAAAGACAUUUAUGAAAAUGAAAGAUGAAAAGACAUCAAUUUUCAUGAUAUUUCGUUUUCCCAGAACUAUUCAUUUUCUUCAACUAUACCUUUUUAUAACCAACCAUAUGCCAUAGUAUAUCUACUGGUUGAAGGCUUGUAUUUGAUUGAUUAGAUGUAAGGAAACUAAAGGCAGAAGUGAAGUUUCUAUUAUGCACUCUUCCUGAAACUCCGAGAACUACUGCUCACUGAGUUAAAGUUGCACAUCUGAUCAAAUGGCAUGAGGUAUGUAUUGAACUUCACACCCCUUGGUUGUCAAGCUAUCUAAACCAAUUGCUAUGUUGUUCACUCCAAAAGUUUUAUGCAGGCUCGUAGUGAAAGAAUUUGACUUGGUACUUUUCGUAGCGUCUAUUCUUAAGAAGAUAUCAGUCUUUUCUGUUAUUUAAUGACUGCCCCAUAAUUACUUUUCUUCUGCUUUGUACUUCCUAAAGUAGCAAAGUACUACAUUCUUUUGCUUUUUCACUACUUUAAGUAGGAUUUUAAUUGUUGCAUUGUAAUUACUCUUUCGGUAUUAUUGAUGGAACGAGAUAAUCUAUAUGCCUAUUCUAUUUAUACUCCAUCAAAAGCAUCGGUUAUCAAUAUAAGUUGAACUCUUAUUCUAAGGGCAGCAUGUUUAUUGAAAUAGAAAAAGAAGGAAAAACGAAGAGGAAAGAGAUAGAGAAUCAGAGAAAAAGAGUUGUACCAGGAAAGGUAAAAUUAACACUUUUUUCACCUGCGGGAACUAAUACGUGAACAUCAGGUUAAAUAUUGCAGCAUAUUUACCCUGUAGCUAAGAAAUGGAUUUAUGGGCAGUCACACAUUUGGAGAAAAUUAUUGUGGACUAAGCAUUACUGUGAAGUGUGAACCAUUGAUUCUGUGAAAACUAGAACAAGGUAAUCUUGAAUAAUCUUUCCUUUUGUGGGACAAAUGGUCUGGCCUUGGACCUAUAUCAAAGCUGGUUACCCAGGUCAACACUUCUAGAAGAAACACACAUAAAUAAUCAUAACGAACAAUAUAAGGGAUGUUCAACUGUCAUAAUAUAGAUAAGUGCAAAAAUAUAUCUGAAAAUCAACAUCAAAGUGCGAAAACACUACAUCAACCCCAAGAACCGGUAGUAUAAGUCUUGAGCUACUAAAUGAAAUACAUUUAAAACAUAAAACAACUUGGAACAUAUAAAAAAUAUAACCCUAUUUGGAUUGCUCGCCAAAACUGGUUAUUUUUACAUUUAAAACAACUUGGAACAUUCUCAUGCAAACUCGUAAUUCUACUUCUUCUUGUGUUCACUAGACACACUUAAACAAUAGUAUGAGUGUUUGAUAGGUCACAACAGUUUUUAGGUUUUGGACAGAGGACGAUAGCUGCACCAAAGCGACGACGGGACUGAGACAAAGUCACAGAUGCGGGAUAAAGACUUAGACGAGAAAUAUGAGAGGAUAAUGACUUAUUUAAUGAUUCCAGUGAUGUUUCCCAAUUUGGACUGCUCACCGAACUGCUUUUUUACAUGUAAAUCAGCUUGGAAUAUUCUCAUGCAAACUCAGAAUUCUGCACUCACUUGUGUUAAAAUAUGGCACAAUAGAAUUUCCUUUAAAGCAUCUUUUUUCAUGUACAGGGUUACUUGAGCACAAGCUUUCCAUCGAAGAUAUUCACAGAAAAAUUGAUGUGCAUGGUCCAUCUAGAUGCUUCUGUUGUAAUGAAUACUCUGAAGAGACCUUCAAUCGUUUAUUUUGCAUUGGUGAACUUGCAACUAAAGUCUAUACUUAUUUUUGCAAAAGUGCAGGUUUCACUUUUAAUGCCUCAUACUACUACAAACAUGUUCAUGCAUUUGUGGCAGUAACGCAAAAAUUAAGCUGCAAUCUUUCAUUUUUCAAUGCUUGCCUUCUGUCGUAUGUUGGGAAUUGGGAGAUGCAAUCAUACAAAUGCACCUAGAGAUUUGAUGCCAUCAGAACAUCUUUUUGAAGAGUCACUGAACAGUGCAAUUAUCUUAUGAAGCUCAUGAUCAAUGCUCAGUUUCCUAUAUUCUCUUCCUCUGCCACAUGAUUGGAGCUUUGUGAUUUUGCUGACAGAGAGAAGCACCAGCUGAAUACCACUGUUAAAUGCGAAAAUAGUAUUGGGUCAUCUUCCAAUUCAACCUGUAACUCAUAUAAGAUGUCUGCUUUCGGCUUUAUUUUUAGUAAAAGUGCUGUUAAGCUCAUGUCGCUCUUGCUCUGCUAUGGAUCCUCCGGAUGCCAAUCAAUAAAUUACUUCAUUAAAAGAAAAUAGAAGAUAGAUGUUGGUUAACUGGAUUAAAUGAUCUUUACUCUACUUUGGUAUGUGACUCCUUUUUUACUGUGAUUCCAACCUGAACCCCAACC